Molecule: ribosomal RNA, 253 nt
Filed under: uncultured bacterium
Lineage: Bacteria
Description: partial 16S ribosomal RNA
Rfam family: Bacterial small subunit ribosomal RNA
Source: RNAcentral
UACGUAGGGUGCGAGCGUUAAUCGGAAUUACUGGGCGUAAAGUGUGCGCAGGUGGCCGCGCAAGUCGAGUGUGAAAUCCCCGAGCUUAACUUGGGAAUUGCGCUCGAAACUACGUGGCUCGAGUGUGGCAGAGGAAGGUGGAAUUCCACGUGUAGCGGUGAAAUGCGUAGAGAUGUGGAGGAACACCGAUGGCGAAGGCAGCCCCCUGGGCUAACACUGACGCUCAGGCACGAAAGCGUGGGGAGCAAACAGG